RNAcentral lists this transfer RNA (68 nucleotides) under Peniagone sp. YYH-2013. RNAcentral's name for it is "tRNA-Ala". The record is from RNAcentral. Lineage: Eukaryota; Metazoa; Echinodermata; Holothuroidea; Elasipodida; Elpidiidae.
GUGAAUUUAGUUUAAUAAAAAUAUCUAUUUUGCAAGUAGAAGAUUAAGUAAAUAUAUUUAAUUUCACA